RNAcentral lists this ribosomal RNA (253 nucleotides) under uncultured bacterium. RNAcentral's name for it is "partial 16S ribosomal RNA". It matches the Rfam family "Bacterial small subunit ribosomal RNA", at positions 524 to 776 of the family's 1533-position model. The record is from RNAcentral.
UACAGAGGGUGCGAGCGUUGUCCGGAAUCACUGGGCUUAAAGGGCGCGUAGGCGGGCGACCAAGUCAGGGGUGAAAUCGUUCGGCCCAACCGGACAAGGGCCCCUGAUACUGGUUGUCUCGAGGGAGGUAGGGGUCGAUGGAACUUCCGGUGGAGCGGUGAAAUGCGUAGAUAUCGGAAGGAACGCCGGUGGCGAAAGCGAUCGACUGGACCUCUUCUGACGCUGAGGCGCGAAAGCCAGGGGAGCAAACGGG